RNAcentral lists this ribosomal RNA (253 nucleotides) under uncultured bacterium. Its description in RNAcentral is "partial 16S ribosomal RNA". It matches the Rfam family "Bacterial small subunit ribosomal RNA", at positions 524 to 776 of the family's 1533-position model. RNAcentral also lists the same sequence under 1 other name. The record is from RNAcentral.
UACGUAGGGGGCAAGCGUUAUCCGGAUUCAUUGGGCGUAAAGCGCGCGUAGGCGGCUUGUUAAGUCAGGUGUGAAAACCGGGGGCUCAACCCGCGGCCUGCACCUGAAACUGGCAGGCUUGAGUCUGGUAGAGGGAAAUGGAAUUCCGAGUGUAGCGGUGAAAUGCGCAGAUAUUCGGAAGAACACCAGUGGCGAAGGCGGUUUCCUGGGCCACGACUGACGCUGAGGCGCGAAAGCUAGGGGAGCGAACAGG